Molecule: ribosomal RNA, 424 nt
Filed under: uncultured bacterium
Lineage: Bacteria
Description: bacterial SSU rRNA
Rfam family: Bacterial small subunit ribosomal RNA
Source: RNAcentral
GAACCUGGCGGCAUGCCUUACACAUGCAAGUCGAACGGCAGCACGGGGGCAACCCUGGUGGCGAGUGGCGAACGGGUGAGUAAUACAUCGGAACGUGUCCUGGAGUGGGGGAUAGCCCGGCGAAAGCCGGAUUAAUACCGCAUACGCUCGGGAGAGGAAAGCGGGGGAUCUUCGGACCUCGCGCUCAAGGGGCGGCCGAUGGCGGAUUAGCUAGUUGGUGGGGUAAAGGCCUACCAAGGCGACGAUCCGUAGCUGGUCUGAGAGGACGACCAGCCACACUGGGACUGAGACACGGCCCAGACUCCUACGGGAGGCAGCAGUGGGGAAUUUUGGACAAUGGGGGCAACCCUGAUCCAGCAAUGCCGCGUGUGUGAAGAAGGCCUUCGGGUUGUAAAGCACUUUUGUCCGGAAAGAGAACGGCCUG